Molecule: ribosomal RNA, 496 nt
Filed under: uncultured bacterium
Lineage: Bacteria
Description: partial 16S ribosomal RNA
Rfam family: Bacterial small subunit ribosomal RNA
Source: RNAcentral
GAUGAACGCUGGCGGCGUGCCUAAUACAUGCAAGUCGAGCGAACGGACGAGAAGCUUGCUUUUCUGAUGUUAGCGGCGGACGGGUGAGUAACACGUGGAUAACUUACCUAUAAGACUGGGAUAACUUCGGGAAACCGGAGCUAAUACCGGAUAAUAUUUUGAACCGCAUGGUUCAAAAGUGAAAGACGGUCUUGCUGUCACUUAUAGAUGGAUCCGCGCUGCAUUAGCUAGUUGGUAAGGUAACGGCUUACCAAGGCAACGAUGCAUAGCCGACCUGAGAGGGUGAUCGGCCACACUGGAACUGAGACACGGUCCAGACUCUACGGGAGGCAGCAGUAGGGAAUCUUCCGCAAUGGGCGAAAGCCUGACGGAGCAACGCCGCGUGAGUGAUGAAGGUCUUCGGAUCGUAAAACUCUGUUAUUAGGGAAGAACAUAUGUGUAAGUAACUGUGCACAUCUUGACGGUACCUAAUCAGAAAGCCACGGCUAACUACGUG